GACGAACGCUGGCGGCGUGCUUAACACAUGCAAGUCGAACGGAGCGAAUGAAAGCUUGCUUUUAUAAGCUUAGUGGCAAACGGGUGAGUAACACGUAGACAACCUGCCGACAGGAUGGGGACAACAUUCCGAAAGGAAUGCUAAUACCGAAUGAAGUGCAGGGGAGGCAUCUCCCCUGCAUGAAAGAUGGCCUCUGAAUAUGCUAUUACCUGUUGAUGGGUCUGCGUCUGAUUAGCUGGUAGGUGAGGUAACGGCUCACCUAGGCGACGAUCAGUAGCCGGUCUGAGAGGAUGAACGGCCACAUUGGGACUGAGACACGGCCCAGACUCCUACGGGAGGCAGCAGUGGGGAAUCUUCCGCAAUGGGCGCAAGCCUGACGGAGCAACGCCGCGUGAGUGAAGAAGGUCUUCGGAUCGUAAAGCUCUGUUGAUGGGGACGAACGUGCCUAAUGCGAAUAGUUUUAGGUA
Molecule: ribosomal RNA, 467 nt
Filed under: Centipeda noxia
Lineage: Bacteria; Bacillati; Bacillota; Negativicutes; Selenomonadales; Selenomonadaceae
Description: bacterial SSU rRNA
Rfam family: Bacterial small subunit ribosomal RNA
Source: RNAcentral